ACAUUCAUACCACACCUGAGGGCUUAGGGCACCACCAACAGAGGACAGACAGCUGCACCUGACACCGCUGUGAUUUAAACCAAGGGCACCGCUAGCAGGGACAGGAUGGACCGCAGGCACCAAGCUGCACCAGGGGUUAGGAAAUCAUGAAUGGACUCGUCCUGAGCACAGGCUGGUGCAGCCAGAAGAUUGGAGUGGCCAGCAAAUGCUAGUGCUGGGAAGAUGCAAGUUUGGAGCGAUGGACAGCCACCGUCCCUAGCUCAGCAAAAGAAGCUGCUUACAUUAAGAGAGUUUGUGCUCCUCAUGCAAAGAGAACAGAAAAAAGGGA
Myotis brandtii (Brandt's bat) is the source of this 328-nucleotide long non-coding RNA. RefSeq lists it as uncharacterized. Lineage: Eukaryota; Metazoa; Chordata; Mammalia; Chiroptera; Vespertilionidae. The transcript is spliced from 3 exons. The record is from RefSeq and is a predicted model, not a curated record.